This 75-nucleotide transfer RNA is filed under the name candidate division WWE3 bacterium CG08_land_8_20_14_0_20_41_15. RNAcentral's name for it is "tRNA-Asn". It matches the Rfam family "tRNA". From Rfam's summary of the family: Transfer RNA (tRNA) molecules are approximately 80 nucleotides in length. Their secondary structure includes four short double-helical elements and three loops (D, anti-codon, and T loops). Further hydrogen bonds mediate the characteristic L-shaped molecular structure. tRNAs have two regions of fundamental functional importance: the anti-codon, which is responsible for specific mRNA codon recognition, and the 3' end, to which the tRNAs corresponding amino acid is attached (by aminoacyl-tRNA synthetases). tRNAs cope with the degeneracy of the genetic code in two manners: having more than one tRNA (with a specific anti-codon) for a particular amino acid; and 'wobble' base-pairing, i.e. permitting non-standard base-pairing at the 3rd anti-codon position. The record is from RNAcentral. Lineage: Bacteria; candidate division WWE3.
UCCGCGGUAGCUCAAUGGUAGAGCAGGGCCCUGUUAAGGCCAAGGUUACAGGUUCGAGCCCUGUCCGCGGAGCCA